CCCGGGGGUUUUGUUCUUGGGUAGUCUUUUGAUUACCGUUUCAAUUUCUUUGCUCGUAAUUGGUUUGUUUAACUUUUGUGUUUCUUUCUUGGUCAGUCUUGGAAAGUUGUAUUUUUCUAGGAAAUUGUCCAUUUCCUCUAGGUUUUCCAGCUUGUUAGCAUAUAGGUUUUCAUAGUAGUCUCUAAUAAUUCUUUGUAUUUCUGUGGAGUCUGUCGUGAUUUUUCCAUUCUCAUUUCUGAUUCUGUUGAUGUGUGUUGAUUCUCUUUUUCUCUUAAUAAUAAGUUUGGUUAGAGGCUUUUUUAUUUUGUUUAUUUUCUCAA
Molecule: long non-coding RNA, 320 nt
Organism: Manis pentadactyla (Chinese pangolin)
Lineage: Eukaryota; Metazoa; Chordata; Mammalia; Pholidota; Manidae
Exons: 2
Source: RefSeq, a predicted model, not a curated record